UAAUACGUAGGGGGCAAGCGUUGUCCGGAAUCACUGGGCGUAAAGGGCGCGUAGGCGGUUUGUUAAGUCAGGUGUGAAAGUUUUCAGCUUAACUGGAAAAGUGCACUUGAAACUAACUUACUUGAGUACUGGAGAGGUAAGCGGAAUUCCUAGUGUAGCGGUGAAAUGCGUAGAUAUUAGGAAGAACACCGGUGGCGAAGGCGGCUUACUGGACAGAGACUGACGCUGAGGCGCGAAAGCGUGGGGAGCGAACAGG
Molecule: ribosomal RNA, 256 nt
Filed under: uncultured bacterium
Lineage: Bacteria
Description: partial 16S ribosomal RNA
Rfam family: Bacterial small subunit ribosomal RNA
Source: RNAcentral